Molecule: long non-coding RNA, 1496 nt
Organism: Triticum aestivum (bread wheat)
Lineage: Eukaryota; Viridiplantae; Streptophyta; Magnoliopsida; Poales; Poaceae
Exons: 4
Source: RefSeq, a predicted model, not a curated record
UUCUAUAAAGCAUCGUUCCGCUCGCCCUCCUUUCUGCCAAUUCCCCGUGGGACUAUGUUCCCCCUUUCGCCCAGACUCCCCCCCCCUCAUCGCCAUGGCCCGUUCUACACCUAUUAUCACCUACGGACCUUGCUACCACAAAAUUCACCAUCUUCCCUACCUUUUCCAUCCCUCGACCUCCUCCGGCAUCUGGCCGGCCGCCGGCAUCCCUCGGCUUCCUUAGGUGCUCUCUUGCAUCGUCGCCUCCCGUAAUAGAUCCAGAUACGAGCAUCCUCAUUUUAGGUAGUUGACACCUAAAGGUUCUAUCAUUCAAUGAACCUCAUCGCCAUGCUCCAGUAUCCCCUCCUCGUGCGAUUCCACCUUCGCCAUCUCCACCCUCAGUUCUAGCACCGAAAUUAUGAAUCCAAGACCAGAAUACCGCUCUCGAAGUGAGUCGACCUACAUAGAUCUUGAUGUGAAUUUGAUGGCGAGAAUAGGUAAUCGAAUUUCCUCUUCAUGAAUAGUUAAGCAUCUACCAUCCCUCGAUCUCCUUUGGUUCUCUCUUGCAUCGCCACCUUCCAUCAUAGAUCCAGGUAUAGCAACAUACCACACUUAGCGUAGCUGACACCCAUAAGUUUCUAUUAUUCGCUCAUAGCACCUGUUGACCGCAUGAUACUAUGUUUCUCACAUCCACAACCUCGCUUCUAGCCACCGAGAACCUAGAUCCCCUAGUUGCCAUAACAUUAGGAGUAGGCUGACCUAUGCAGAUCUGGAUGUGGAUCCGGUGAGAACUCAUAUCCGACAUUCCCCUUCGGCAACAUUUUUUUAUCUCCCAUUAAUUCUUUACCAUAUCAAAAAUUCCCUUGGUCGCUAUAGCAUUAGGAGUCGGCUGACCUACGCAGAUCUGGAUGUGGAUCCGGUGAGAACUCAUAUCCGACUCCCCCCUUCGGCAAUAGAUUAAGAUGUGGAUCCGGUGAGAACUCAUAUCCGAUUUUCCCCUUCGGUAACAGAUCUGGAUGUGGAUUCGGUGAGAACUCGUAUUCCGACUUUCCCCUUCGGCACCAGGUGGUGGCCGGAGCUGAGGGCGCCGAGGAUUUCAUCCCCAUGAACAGGUGGCUCAGGAUGGUGGACCUGCCUGGCAGGAUCGCCUUCAUGAGCCUGCCUCGUUCAAGGGGACGAUCUCCGAGGCAGGGCCACGAGGAGGGGGCCCGGGAGCCGCUGCGCUUCUACCAGCAGAUCAAAGACAACGAGGACCUCACCAUGCUCGUCGUCCCUCACAAGUUCGUGGAGGUGAUGAACACCUAGUUGGUCAUCAAGCGGCUCCCGCGCGUGGUCAGGCCGUCGGCGAACAAGCGGUGCAUGUUCUGGGACAAAUCAAACAAUUCAGCAUCGAUGCCUACCUCGCCCCCUAUAUUGUCUUCCACUGAGGGCGAGUCCAUGGCCGUUGUCGUGGCCCCGGUGUUGAAGAGCAUGCCUGAACUUAGGGAGCUUUGUAUGAGUCUGUUAGUGAAGAAUAU